Molecule: ribosomal RNA, 427 nt
Filed under: uncultured bacterium
Lineage: Bacteria
Description: partial 16S ribosomal RNA
Rfam family: Bacterial small subunit ribosomal RNA
Source: RNAcentral
UGGGGAAUAUUGCACAAUGGGCGCAAGCCUGAUGCAGCCAUGCCGCGUGUGUGAAGAAGGCCUUCGGGUUGUAAAGCACUUUCAGCGAGGAGGAAGGGUAGUGUGUUAAUAGCACAUUGCAUUGACGUUACUCGCAGAAGAAGCACCGGCUAACUCCGUGCCAGCAGCCGCGGUAAUACGGAGGGUGCAAGCGUUAAUCGGAAUUACUGGGCGUAAAGCGCACGCAGGCGGUUUGUUAAGUCAGAUGUGAAAUCCCCGCGCUUAACGUGGGAACUGCAUUUGAAACUGGCAAGCUAGAGUCUUGUAGAGGGGGGUAGAAUUCCAGGUGUAGCGGUGAAAUGCGUAGAGAUCUGGAGGAAUACCGGUGGCGAAGGCGGCCCCCUGGACAAAGUCUGACGCUCAGGUGCGAAAGCGUGGGGAGCAAACA